UCUGCUUCAUAGUGAGUUCAAUUGUAAUGAGAACUUGUCUCAAAAUAAAAAGUAAAAAGAAUCCUGAGAUGUAGCUCAGUAGUAGAAACAUCGCCAAAGAUACACAGGACCCUGAUUCAAUCCUCGAUAACAAAAACCACCCCUAACUUUAGAGUUCAAGGGAUCUGAUACCCUUUCUUGUCUCUAUGCACACAUUACACACACACUUUAAAACAUUUUAAAGGAUUAACAAAUCUGAUGAACAUUUAUUUAUUUUUCCAAGAUCAUCCCACCACUGUUUUUGAGACAAGACUGACCUUGAACCAACCCCCUUUGUAGCAGAAGAUGAUCCUGACCUGAUCCUCAUGCCUGAACUUGACAAGUGCUGGGAUUACAAACAUUCUCCACCACACUAAAUCCAGGGCAUCUUUUUAGGGUCUUGCCACAUUCUUUCUACUGCAUGAAAAGAAGUUUUCUGCUGUGUCUUCCUCCUUCCAAUCUAGAGAGGUUGGAAAGCCAGCACGUGGGCUCUGGGACUACUGCUCAGUUGGUAAAGUGCUCCAUGCAAGCAUGAGAACAUAGCGUGGAUCCCUGGGACCAAGAGACCCCGAGAGGCAGGAGACUUACAAUGAAGACUCUGCUUGAAGGUACACGUUCUCCCAGCAUGGGCCCAGGCAGCCCAUUUGUAGACCAGGAGUCUACACUGGACUUUGAGGUCAUACUUGCAUUUCCUCCAUGAGAAUCAAGGUGUCUGGAAGUUUUUCAGGAAGCAGUGGGGCCUGAUGCAGCUCACACAGUCUGCUAGAACUCAGAUCUCCC
Apodemus sylvaticus (European woodmouse) is the source of this 798-nucleotide long non-coding RNA. RefSeq lists it as uncharacterized. The record is from RefSeq and is a predicted model, not a curated record. Lineage: Eukaryota; Metazoa; Chordata; Mammalia; Rodentia; Muridae. The transcript has 4 exons.